UUAAAGUCAAUGACGAGAAAGAGUAAGAUUUGAUUACUGUUCCCCAGAGAAUCGGCGCUUGGUGAAAUCCGAUGUUCAGUGCUUAUCCGAAAAUCAUCUCCGAGAUGCAAAGCUGAAAUGUAAGCUUUGACGGGCCGUCCGCCGUUACAAGGGAACACGUAUGAUUGUACGUUGACUGAGUGCCGCAAGCUUUUCAUAAGCUGUGGAAUUAGGGUGGUAACGCGAGCGAUAACUCGUCCCUUCU
Molecule: non-coding RNA, 244 nt
Filed under: Fictibacillus phosphorivorans
Lineage: Bacteria; Bacillati; Bacillota; Bacilli; Caryophanales; Fictibacillaceae
Description: T-box sequence
Rfam family: T-box leader
About the family: Uncharged tRNA acts as the effector for transcription antitermination of genes in the T-box leader family.
Source: RNAcentral